Molecule: ribosomal RNA, 449 nt
Filed under: uncultured bacterium
Lineage: Bacteria
Description: partial 16S ribosomal RNA
Rfam family: Bacterial small subunit ribosomal RNA
Source: RNAcentral
AACGAACGCUGGCGGCAUGCCUAGCACAUGCAAGUCGAACGAGAUCUUCGGGUCUAGUGGCGCACGGGUGCGUAACGCGUGGGAAUCUGCCCUUUGGUUCGGAAUAACAGUUGGAAACGACUGCUAAUACCGGAUGAUGACGAAAGUCCAAAGAUUUAUCGCCAGAGGAUGAGCCCGCGUAGGAUUAGCUAGUUGGUGUGGUAAAGGCGCACCAAGGCGACGAUCCUUAGCUGGUCUGAGAGGAUGAUCAGCCACACUGGGACUGAGACACGGCCCAGACUCCUACGGGAGGCAGCAGUGGGGAAUACUGGACAAUGGGCGAAAGCCUGAUCCAGCAAUGCCGCGUGAGUGAUGAAGGCCUUAGGGUUGUAAAGCUCUUUUACCCGGGAUGAUAAUGACAGUACCGGGAGAAUAAGCUCCGGCUAACUCCGUGCCAGCCGCCGCAGUAA